This 347-nucleotide ribosomal RNA is filed under the name uncultured bacterium. RNAcentral describes it as "bacterial SSU rRNA". It matches the Rfam family "Bacterial small subunit ribosomal RNA", at positions 28 to 377 of the family's 1533-position model. The record is from RNAcentral.
GACGAACGCUGGCGGCGUGCUUAACACAUGCAAGUCGAGCGGUAAGGCCCUUUCGGGGGUACACGAGCGGCGAACGGGUGAGUAACACGUGGGUGACCUGCCCUCAGCUCUGGGAUAAGCCCGGGAAACUGGGUCUAAUACCGGAUAUGACUUCAUGACGCAUGUUGUGGAGUGGAAAGCCUUGUGCGGCUGAGGAUGGGCCCGCGGCCUAUCAGCUUGUUGGUGGGGUGAGGCCUACCAAGGCGACGACGGGUAGCCGGCCUGAGAGGGCGACCGGCCACACUGGGACUGAGAUACGGCCCAGACUCCUACGGGAGGCAGCAGUGGGGAAUCUUGCGCAAUGGGCG